AACGCACAUUGCGCCCUUUGGUAUUCUGAAGGGCAUACCUGUUCGAGCGUCAUUUGACCCCUCAAGCGUAGCUUGGUUUUGGGCGUUUUUGUCCUAUUUCUGUAAUGGGACUCGCCUUAAAAGUAUCGGCGCCAAGUAAGCCAAUUCGCGGGCACAGUACAAUGUGGCUCCCAUGAUUGGGUUAGCGUAGCUGCCGUUAAAUCUUUUUCUAUUCUGAAUUGACCUCGGAUCAGGUAGGGAUACCCGCUGAACUUAA
This 256-nucleotide unclassified non-coding RNA is filed under the name uncultured Dothideomycetes. RNAcentral's name for it is "sequence contains 5.8S rRNA gene, ITS2, 28S rRNA gene". Lineage: Eukaryota; Fungi; Ascomycota; Dothideomycetes. The record is from RNAcentral.